RNAcentral lists this unclassified non-coding RNA (240 nucleotides) under soil metagenome. RNAcentral's name for it is "partial contains 5.8S ribosomal RNA, internal transcribed spacer 2, and large subunit ribosomal RNA". The record is from RNAcentral.
AAGACUAUAGACCUGCGGAGUACCUGCGGAAGGAUCAUUACAGAGUGUUUAACCCCCUAUAAAAUGGUGGGUCUAACCUCCCGUCCUUUGCUGGGUCCCCCUUCUGGAGGACUUUCAAAACUUUCUGCUUCGGCGGGGUAUACCCGCCGGAACACCCUCAAAAAAUUCUUGAUCAAAAUGGUUCGGUCCGAGAAACUUUUUGUGAAAAUUAGCGAAAAACUUUCAACAACGGAUCUCUAG